RNAcentral lists this ribosomal RNA (106 nucleotides) under uncultured bacterium. RNAcentral's name for it is "partial 16S ribosomal RNA". It matches the Rfam family "Bacterial small subunit ribosomal RNA", at positions 1358 to 1482 of the family's 1533-position model. The record is from RNAcentral.
CGCGUUGAAUACGUUCCCGGGCCUUGUACACACCGCCCGUCACACCAUGGGAGUCGGAAGGACCCAAGGCCCACAAGGUCUCAAGGUCAGGCCGAUGACUGGGGUG